This 101-nucleotide ribosomal RNA is filed under the name Escherichia coli. Lineage: Bacteria; Pseudomonadati; Pseudomonadota; Gammaproteobacteria; Enterobacterales; Enterobacteriaceae. The record is from RNAcentral. RNAcentral also lists the same sequence under 12 other names.
CGGUGGUCCCACCUGACCCCAUGCCGAACUCAGAAGUGAAACGCCGUAGCGCCGAUGGUAGUGUGGGGUCUCCCCAUGCGAGAGUAGGGAACUGCCAGGCA